CGCAGCUGUCUCGCCGUUCGACCCGGGAGCUCCACGUUGCAGCCAAACACGAUCCCGUUAACCAACCUUUAUGCAGUGCCUGUUGUCUAUCCGACCCUUUCUCGAGCAUCGGCUCAUUGGCAAAGGAUCGUGAUGCUCACCGGCUGGGGCUUGAGACUCGCUGUGUGACCUUGGGCAAGUGACUUAACCUCUCUGAGGUUGUCGCCAAUCCGUAAAAUAUAAUAGUUUUUUUGUAGAGAUGGAGGUCUCGCUACGUUGGCCACGCUGCUGCGGGGAGAUCC
Molecule: long non-coding RNA, 281 nt
Filed under: Homo sapiens (human)
Lineage: Eukaryota; Metazoa; Chordata; Mammalia; Primates; Hominidae
Description: HSALNT0117922
Source: RNAcentral